RNAcentral lists this microRNA precursor (68 nucleotides) under Nematostella vectensis (starlet sea anemone). RNAcentral describes it as "mir-9437 microRNA precursor family". It matches the Rfam family "mir-9437 microRNA precursor family". Lineage: Eukaryota; Metazoa; Cnidaria; Anthozoa; Actiniaria; Edwardsiidae. The record is from Rfam by way of RNAcentral.
CCUUAACGAGAAUCUGAUACGGUUCCAGUCAGACCGGAAGGGAAAGACGCUAGUACAGCUUCGCAACC